This 695-nucleotide ribosomal RNA is filed under the name uncultured bacterium. RNAcentral's name for it is "bacterial SSU rRNA". It matches the Rfam family "Bacterial small subunit ribosomal RNA", at positions 8 to 681 of the family's 1533-position model. The record is from RNAcentral.
AGAGUUUGAUCCUGACUCAGAACGAACGCUGGCGGCGUGCCUAACACAUGCAAGUCCAACGUGAAAGGGGAGCAAUCCCCCGGUAGGGUGGCAAACGGGUGAGUAAUACAUGGGUGAUCUACCUUAGGGAUGGGGAUAUCCUUCCGAAAGGAGGGGCAAUACCGAAUAUUGUCCGGAGCCGUGAAGGGUUCCGGGGAAAGGGAGGCCUCUGAUACAAGCUUUCGCCUUAAGAUGAGCCCAUGGCCCAUCAGCUAGUUGGUAGGGUAAAGGCCUACCAAGGCUACGACGGGUCGCUGGUCUGAGAGGACGACCAGCCACACUGGCACUGAGAUACGGGCCAGACUCCUACGGGAGGCAGCAGUGAGGAAUAUUGCGCAAUGGGGGAAACCCUGACGCAGCAACGCCGCGUGUGGGAAGAAGGCCUUCGGGUCGUAAACCACUUUUGCACGGGACGAAAAAGGGAUAUCGAACAAAUAUCCCCGAUGACGGUACCGUGAGAAUAAGCCACGGCUAACUCUGUGCCAGCAGCCGCGGUAAGACAGAGGUGGCAAGCGUUGUUCGGAACUACUGGGCGUAAAGAGUCUGUAGGUGGUUUGUCAAGUCUUUGGUGAAAGGCCGUAGCUUAACUAUGGGAAUGCCAAAGAGACUGGCAGGCUGGAGGCUGGGAGAGGGAAGCGGAAUUUCUGGUGUAGCGG